Molecule: long non-coding RNA, 3527 nt
Organism: Dromaius novaehollandiae (emu)
Lineage: Eukaryota; Metazoa; Chordata; Aves; Casuariiformes; Dromaiidae
Exons: 2
Source: RefSeq, a predicted model, not a curated record
CAAAUUAGUCACGCACACUUUAUGAAGAGCGCCCACCACGCUUUUGGAACCUAUGCUUAGCUUAUGUCUUCAGUGUGUGCUUCAAGGGCCUUCAAGUUUCAGUGUGCGCUCAGCCCAGAGACAGAGACCUUUUCAUUUUUUUGUGAGAGGAGCUGUCAACCAUCAGAAUAACUUGAAAUCCUGCCGACCACUCCUUGGUAAAGAAGAAAGGGAAAUCUCUUAGGUUCGUAUGAAGAUGAAAAGAAGUUUGUUUGCUUUCAAAGGAAAAGACUCUUCUUUCAUUGCAGGGUUCCACAAAUAUUGUAUUUCCACUUUUCUCUAUGAAUUAGUAGAAUUUCCCAGUAUGGUAUUAGUCUGAUAAGUUACUGUCUAUACAUGAAAAAUAUUACCCCUAAAUGUUCCUUGGGACAUUGUUAUAUGAUUGCAUUGGCUAAGAUAUAAACAAUUUUGUGCUGAGCUCGCUAGGUGUAAGCACUUUGCAGGACCCCAGGUGUAGACAAUCCAGGAAUGCCAUUUAAAUGUGUGUGUUUGUAUGCUUACGUACAUGUAUAUGGGAAUGCUGCAUAUUAAUACCUCUAUGGCUCAUACGAAGGUGUAUGAAUCUACACUAUUUGAGAAUUGUUUUACUGUCAGUGAAAAAAAGUAGCUAUAUACUCAUGUGGUAUAAUCAUAUGCUCUGUUUUUUACAUAUUUCACAAGCUAAAUAUUUUGAAAUUUUCUGAGUCUGUAGAUAACCCAUCAUGUUCUCAUCACUUUUCCUUAUCUCUCUGGCUAAAAAGUCCCAUGAGUCCAGCUCUGUCAACUGAAGAAGAUUUUCACCAUCGAAAGGGGAGGGAGAUGCGAGUGGUAGCUAGGCCAACUGAAUUUGAAUUUUGCUUAAAAUUUUGUUGGUGUAGCCCUCAAGUCUUGAUAGGAGCACUGUGACUAUCCAUUUGCAAAUUGUUUUCCCAGCAUUAUUCGAGCCUUGCCAGUUACAAGGCUAAAGUUUUAGAUCUGGAAGUCACGCCAGUUUGGGAAAUGCUCUCUCCUGUGUGCGUGGACCUUUCUGAUCUGGAAACGGGUCAAAAAAGCACAAAGAGACAUAAACUUUUCCAUAAAAUAUCUACUGUUCAAUAACUCUGCUACUUUUUCUUUUGCAAAAGGGAUUUCACACAAACUGGUGUAAUUCGGUGUAUCCUUGACUGUCUCCCUGCCAAAUACUAAUAUCCUGUCUAAACAGUGGAUAUCUAGAACUGUGUAUCUCUCUCUCUCUUUUUAGAAAACCACUACAAGAGGUUGUAUAUAUUCCCCCCAAAUAUAUACAGUUCUUCCACUUUAUCCAUAACAAACAGCAAAACUGUUUUUUUCUCAAAAUGCUUAAAAUUCAUGUUUGGCAGAGCCCAGAUUAAGCAAAAGAUGAAAUUGAGAGGAGUGUGCAAGCAAAUGAAAGACAAGAAAAUGUGCUGUGAGAGAGGCAGCCCUGACUCUAGCAUAGCUGUUGUAUUAAGUCUUCCCUGUAACACAUUUAUAUUCUCCCUUCUCAAAAGCCUUAUCAAUCUCUAAAAGGACAGGCUUGCAAAGAAAAUGUUAUAUGAAGCUAAUGUCUACCUAGCUCUUCUCAUGCCUUGGCAACUUGUGUUCUCUUUUCAGCAGCUUCCAAAGAACUAAAUUUGACAGUUGUUGGGGUCUUCUCUUCCCUUUCUCUGGACUGUAUCUAGCGCUGGACACGGGGUGAGCUGAAUUAUCCAUGAGAGGAUUAUCAGAGUGUUUUUCACUAGCUUGGGUUGAUAAUAAUAUACUUGUGUGUGAUAAGCCACAUCAUGCUAAAUGUGAAUAUUUUGAUAUAAGUUAAUUUUUGACAAUAAUGCUUUCCAAUGAGGUGUUCAAAACAGGGCAUGCACAAGUCUGAUACUUGGUGUACCCAAAGGCACUCAGAUCAACAAUGCAUGUUUGGAUAUCGAUUAUUUACUCAUGAGUAUUUAACAACUUUCAUAGCCUUGUGCUCAUGCAGGUGCAUGAGUUUCCUUGAGGACAUCGUUAUUGUUAGACAAUGCUAGUACACAGAUAAGGCAGCAAACCCCUAAUUUUGAAACAAUAUGUUUUUAUUGGAGGAAGAUGAUAUAUUGGCAGUAGGAAAAAUUCUCAGAAAUGCUCACAGAUAAUACUGUUGAAUAUUGAAUACCUUCAGGUAAUAUCGAAUAUCUGCAUCUUCCCUGGGAACAAAUGUUUCAGCAAAAGAUGUUAAGUCCCAAGAACUUGUUUUGCAUGAAAGCAUUACCAAUAAGAACUAUAAAAUAGUCAUAUUAAAAAUAUUUGAAUGUUAGCUUCCAAAGUGUUCUUCAUAGGACAAUGACCCUCUAAUUGUUUACAGUCCUACCACCCCAGCUCUAUUCCAGGCAUUUUCUCCACCAUGCUAUGUCGUUCUGAUGCAGAAACAUGUCACCUGUUUUUAUCUAUUUUUUCGCCUUCUGAUGAUCACUGAGGCAGGAAGGAUUCCUGGCAGGUGCAUGCUCCACAGGGAGAAGCUCACCAAAGCAUAUGCAGAUUGUAUUGUUACGGCUUCCCAUGCUAUUCCUUACACUUAAAGAUUAACAGUUGUUUGAGCCACAUGCCCACCUGCAGAGCUCUGGGGAUCUUUCUUUUCUGUCUGUCCUCCCACUAUCUUUGUUUCUGAAUUCCUGCCAUCUAGGGUGAAUUCCGUAUGGGGUCUUCUGAGGGAUCUUCUCUUCUACUUGGUCGGAACAAGGAUCAAGUCCAGAAUGUGAAGAGCUCCAUUUCAUUUCUGUUAAGUACUGUUGUUGUUAAACUUUCAGGUGUAUAUGGAACUAGUUUAAAUCAAAGCACUGGAGAGAAGGGACAUGAAGAUUUUGUAGACUCUUACAGAUAGAAGAUAGUUGGAGAUACAUGAGGUAAUCCCUCUGUGUCCCUCACACUCAACCUUGGGCCUUUUUUCCCACAGCUUCACACUGUUGCGUCUGAAGAGAAGCCCAUUCAAUUACUCUGCUGUGACAGGAAAGGGCUGUCGUGAUGAAUGGAGGGGACUCUUCACUGGUUUUAAAUGUAGCAGUCCAAGUUCUCCUAUGACAUAAAGCUGCCUGAUAUUAGCAACUGUCAAGAUUUUUAUUGAGUCUUAAAAUAUCUGGGACAAACUCCUGGUCCCACUGAGGUCAAAACAUCAAAACACAGAUGGGUUGCUGUGGGGAAAGGAUGGGGUUUUGAAUAUCAGCUGUGAAAGUUCUCUACAUAAGAACUUCGGCUUUUCCUUCCUUCAUGAGAAAAAAUUAAUAACCAAAAUUUGGUGAUGUGAAGAGAAACUAGACUGGAAUGGAGCCUAUUGGUAGAAACUUUAGAUUGCAAAGCAAAAGGACCCUUUCUUAACUUCCUGAGGUUUUCAAGCCAGUUUUAUGUUUUCUGUAGCCUGACUCACUGUUUUUAAACACUCGCAGUUGCUAAUACAGCAGGAUAGCUCCACUGAAGAUACUGAGUGUUGUGACAGCUCACGUCAGGUGAGGUAGCCUGGCUCGAGGCUGGUGAAAGUCUGGCGAUCA